UUGGCUCCAGCGACUGGUCAGACUGCGUCCAGCUCCGCGGGCGCCCUUCCUGCCUCUGCUCUUUGUGUUUGCUUCUUGCCUCUCCCUCCCACACUUUCUCCUCCUCCUUCAGGUAUCUGCUUACACAUCACGGCCACCAAAGAGGGGACAGUAUUGACACAAAGCUGGACGCCCCUUCUGAGUGUUCCGACUGUGCCCUCUUUUAUACCUGUCAUGGCAUUUAUGUCUCUGUACCGAAACUGCCUGUUCAUCUAUUGUUCCAGUUUACGGUACAUGAUUAUUCAGGGUGGACUCUGUCAUCUUCAUCUUGUGAUUCCAGUGCUUGUCACAGUGCCUUAGUACAUGGUUGCUGAGUAAAUGAAUGAAGGAUGAGAAAACCAGGGGCUCUGAUCCUUAGCCACAAGAGCAGUUAAUUCAACGUGCAGCCCUGGGCAGAGUCUAGAGUACUACUACUGAACUUGAAUCUUAAGUCCUACAGAGUCUCUCGUAGCCUUGAUGGAUGAGUCAAGUCCAAGUCCAGAUCUGGAUUCGAAAGCACGUGAAGAAUAUGUGGAGAUUUGGAAGAAUAAGUGUAUGAUCUGCAAGAUAAAUAGUAAACAUUUACCUGCUGGGCUGUUUGCCUAACAUUGUAUUUACUUCCCGUUAUGUAAGAUACUGGCACUGUUUAUUAAGGGAAAAUACUCUUGCAUUCUGUGUGCGUGAUUAAAUUUGAUGUAGUAUUUUAAACCA
This is a non-coding RNA of Vicugna pacos (alpaca), 729 nucleotides long. NCBI's taxonomy places the organism in Eukaryota, Metazoa, Chordata, Mammalia, Artiodactyla, Camelidae. The record is from RefSeq and is a predicted model, not a curated record.